UGUCUUGUGUUUUGAAUGGAACAUAUUGCA
RNAcentral lists this non-coding RNA (30 nucleotides) under Rattus norvegicus (Norway rat). Lineage: Eukaryota; Metazoa; Chordata; Mammalia; Rodentia; Muridae. The record is from RNAcentral.